RNAcentral lists this ribosomal RNA (253 nucleotides) under uncultured bacterium. Its description in RNAcentral is "partial 16S ribosomal RNA". It matches the Rfam family "Bacterial small subunit ribosomal RNA", at positions 524 to 776 of the family's 1533-position model. The record is from RNAcentral.
UACGUAGGGGGCGAGCGUUGUCCGAAGUUACUGGGCGUAAAGCGCGCGUAGGCGGGUUGGUAAGUCCGCUGUGAAAGCCCGGAGCUCAACUCCGGAGGGUCGGUGGAUACUGCCAGUCUUGAAGGUGCUAGGGGGAGAUGGAAUUACCGGUGUAGCGGUGAAAUGCGUAGAUAUCGGUAGGAACACCAGUGGCGAAGGCGGUCUCCUGGGGCAUUCUUGACGCUGAGGCGCGAAAGCUGGGGGAGCGAACGGG